AACAGUUAUUGGACACAAAAUUAGCUAAACUUGAGAAUAGGAUUGUAAAAGGCCUGGUAAAUCCUAUAGGCAUUACCCCUCACGUAGCUACAAAACAAGCAACAAAUAUUGUGAUUGAGGAACAUGAUUCAACCGCUUCAACUCGUUCUUCUUCGCCAGUGAAAUCAUUCCACGAUGAAUGUACUAACUUGCAAAUUAAACAAUGCACAGAAUGGUAGUGUCCCAUGCACUCAAACUUUGCAGUUUUGAUAAAAGAGGUCAAGCCAUCUACAUAUGAAGAUGAAACUUUGAUUAAACGAGCCAAGUCUCGUUAUGCAUACUGGGCCAAAGGGUACACAGUUAGAUGUUGUACUUAUGACAGAAAACGCAGUACUCAGCCUAAGCCGUAUGUCUUACCAUCUUGUUGGCCAACCUUAAUGCCCAGUGAUAUGGAAAAAUUAAAAGUGCAAUUUUCCAAACUAUGAAACUGGCAAAACUGUACAAAUUACAAAUUUUAUUAGCACUUAGGUUAAAAAUAAACAUUAACAUAAAAUAAACAUUAUAGCUUAUCUUAUUAUUAUUAUAUAUAAUAACCUAACCUAUACACUUAUAGAAUAUGGAUUGAGUAGUGAGUUCUUAUGUUCAAAAUAACGUCAUAUUGUCGAGAAAAUAAAAAUAAAUACUUUAUUUUUAUGUAUAACGAUUUACCUCAAUACGAACUAGGCAACUCUUGUCAUUUGGAGUUAAGAAUGCAUAUACACGGUUGUUAAUUUAGUUUAAUUGUAAUUUGUAAUUGUAAACGUGGAAAUUAACAAAAAUGAAAUGUAAUCAUGUUCAUACUUACCAAAAAUAUAAUAUACUUUACAGGUUGAAGUCACAAACCAAUCACAAAUAUUUAUUUGCUUAAUAACAUG
Aphis gossypii (cotton aphid) is the source of this 893-nucleotide long non-coding RNA. RefSeq lists it as uncharacterized. The record is from RefSeq and is a predicted model, not a curated record. The transcript is spliced from 3 exons. Lineage: Eukaryota; Metazoa; Arthropoda; Insecta; Hemiptera; Aphididae.